Molecule: ribosomal RNA, 253 nt
Filed under: uncultured bacterium
Lineage: Bacteria
Description: partial 16S ribosomal RNA
Rfam family: Bacterial small subunit ribosomal RNA
Source: RNAcentral
UACGUAGGGGGCAAGCGUUGUCCGGAUUUAUUGGGCGUAAAGAGCGUGUAGGCGGCUAGGUAGGUCCGUUGUGAAAACUCGAGGCUCAACCUCGAGACGCCGGUGGAAACCAUCUAGCUAGAGUCCGGAAGAGGAGAGUGGAAUUCCUGGUGUAGCGGUGAAAUGCGCAGAUAUCAGGAGGAACACCGAUGGCGAAGGCAGGUCUCUGGGCCACUACUGACGCUGAGAAGCGAAAGCAUGGGGAGCGAACAGG